ACCUACAGCCAUACCACCCUGAAUGCACAUGAUCUUGUCUGAUCAUGGAAACUAAGCAAGGCCGGGCCUGGUUAGUACUUAAGUGGGAGGCAACUUUAAUAAGUCACUCAUGCUAACUUCCUCCUUUUGGUU
This 132-nucleotide ribosomal RNA is filed under the name Carlito syrichta (Philippine tarsier). The record is from RNAcentral. Lineage: Eukaryota; Metazoa; Chordata; Mammalia; Primates; Tarsiidae.